UCCCUACGGGAGGCAGCAGUGGGGGAUAUUGCACAAUGGGGGAAACCCUGAUGCAGCGACGUCGCGUGAGGGAAGACGGUUUUCGGAUUGUAAACCUCUGUCCUCUGUGAAGAUAAUGACGGUAGCAGAGGAGGAAGCUCCGGCUAACUACGUGCCAGCAGCCGCGGUAAUACGUAGGGAGCAAGCGUUGUCCGGAUUUACUGGGUGUAAAGGGUGCGUAGGCGGGCUUGCAAGUCAGAAGGGAAAUCUAUGGGCUUAACCCAUAAACUGCUUUUGAAACUGUAAGUCUUGAGUGAAGUAGAGGU
RNAcentral lists this ribosomal RNA (305 nucleotides) under uncultured bacterium. RNAcentral describes it as "bacterial SSU rRNA". It matches the Rfam family "Bacterial small subunit ribosomal RNA", at positions 335 to 658 of the family's 1533-position model. The record is from RNAcentral.